UUCUUUUUUCACCUACCUCCA
This 21-nucleotide non-coding RNA is filed under the name Arabidopsis thaliana (thale cress). Lineage: Eukaryota; Viridiplantae; Streptophyta; Magnoliopsida; Brassicales; Brassicaceae. The record is from RNAcentral.